Molecule: long non-coding RNA, 656 nt
Filed under: Felis catus (domestic cat)
Lineage: Eukaryota; Metazoa; Chordata; Mammalia; Carnivora; Felidae
Description: lncRNA (ENSFCAG00000051778.1)
Source: RNAcentral
UCUGCAAAGGCUUUGUAAUUUGGGGAAAGUGACUCUCUCAGCUUGUUUCUUUAGUUUUAAAAGCAAAGAGACUGUGUGUCAGAAAUAUGUUAUGGUAUCACCCUUUGUUCUCCUGUUUUGUUUCAUAACAGUUGACCCUGUUAAAGAAGAAGAAAGAGAGAGAGAGAAGAGAGGGAAGAAGGAAGGAAGGAAGGAAGGAAGGAAGGAAGGAAGGAAGGAAGGAAGGAAGGAAGGAAGGCAGGCUCCUGACUGACCAGAGAGAGGCAGACAGAGAGAAAGGGAGGGAGGGAGGAAGGAAGGAAGGAAACCUCCUGACUGUGUUAUUUAGGCUUGUCCGAUGUAGGUGUUCUCCUAAUCUGCAUAAAUACAUAAAGGUGUUUGUGCAUGUCACUUUCCAUAUAGAUCAUGUGUAUAAGCUCUAAUUGUACAGAACUGAAGGUGUUGGCCAUGAGGACUUCUCUGCACCACAGAGCUAACAUCAAUACACGUUUGGAUUCUUUUCUAUUUCUGGAUUCAGUUAUUGUAUUAAUAUUUCCAUGGUUGUCACAACUAGAAGAGAACGAAUUAUUGUCCAAGUUCUUACUGAAAAUGCUACAAAUCCUGGGCUGCAAGUUCAAAGCUUCUCUUUGAAUCAAUAAACAUUGAACAGGGGCACA